Non-coding RNA from Pangasius djambal, 68 nucleotides. NCBI's taxonomy places the organism in Eukaryota, Metazoa, Chordata, Actinopteri, Siluriformes, Pangasiidae. The record is from the annotation of a GenBank genome assembly.
GGAUGGUUAAUGGUUAGAGUGUUGGACUUGUAACCCGAAGGUGAACCUGGGUUCAAGUCUCAGGUCCG